This 432-nucleotide ribosomal RNA is filed under the name uncultured bacterium. RNAcentral's name for it is "partial 16S ribosomal RNA". It matches the Rfam family "Bacterial small subunit ribosomal RNA", at positions 29 to 506 of the family's 1533-position model. The record is from RNAcentral.
AACGAACGCUGGCGGCAUGCCUAACAUAUGCAAGUCGAACGAGACCUUCGGGUCUAGUGGCGCACGGGUGCGUAACGCGUGGGAACCUGCCCUUAGGUUCGGAAUAACUCCCCGAAAGGGGUGCUAAUACCGGAUAAUGUCUUCGGACCAAAGAUUUAUCGCCUUUGGAUGGGCCCGCGUUGGAUUAGCUAGUUGGUAGGGUAAAAGCCUACCAAGGCGACGAUCCAUAGCUGGUCUGAGAGGAUGAUCAGCCACACUGGGACUGAGACACGGCCCAGACUCCUACGGGAGGCAGCAGUGGGGAAUAUUGGACAAUGGGCGAAAGCCUGAUCCAGCAAGGCCGCGUGAGUGAUGAAGGCCUUAGGGUUGUAAAGCUCUUUUACCCGGGAUGAUAAUGACAGUACCGGGAGAAUAAGCUCCGGCUAACUCCGU